CAACAGAGCCGAGGAACUCUUGAGUUUACCUUAAUUUUGUUUCCUAGCACGUGCAGAUACUGAGUGUCUAAUUCUGGCUUAAACCAUUGUGUCUGGAGAGGAAAGCCACCUUGAAUUCACACGGCUACUAGGGUCCAUUCUGGUAUUUCCUGAAAAUUAUCACUGGAGCCCAGAAGGGUACUUCUCCUUUCACAUGAAGAGAAGAAUUAUGAUGACUUGUCAUCUUUGCCUAUUGUCAUGUCUAGAGAAGAAUUCUAUAAACAAUUAUAGCAACUUGCCUCACAACUGGAGAUGAAUUAAAC
RNAcentral lists this long non-coding RNA (302 nucleotides) under Pan paniscus (pygmy chimpanzee). Its description in RNAcentral is "lncRNA (ENSPPAG00000044605.1)". The record is from RNAcentral. Lineage: Eukaryota; Metazoa; Chordata; Mammalia; Primates; Hominidae.